Cygnus olor (mute swan) is the source of this 2747-nucleotide long non-coding RNA. RefSeq lists it as uncharacterized. The transcript has 3 exons. NCBI's taxonomy places the organism in Eukaryota, Metazoa, Chordata, Aves, Anseriformes, Anatidae. The record is from RefSeq and is a predicted model, not a curated record.
AAGUAGCAAAAUGAAAAUACUGAAAUCCAGGGCACCGUGCUCCGUGCAGGUGGGGGGGGUCACGCUGGGUGACUGCAGCAGGAAUGGCUUCCAAGGCUGAUGCAGAGAGACGGACAGAGGGAGAGGGACCAGGGAACCAUAAGGAUACCACCGAGUCCCGCAUUCUACCCUCAGUGUACAUCUCUGCAAUCGCCCCACAGACGGCCACCAAUUGGCACAGAGCAGAGCCACUGCCCUUUGCUAAAAUCCUCUCUUAAGAAAUAUCACAUCCCGACGCCCCCAAGCCCCUGGGCAGAGCGGACAACCUAGUUAAGGGAACAGCCCGAAGAAACCCAGCUGCUCGAUGUUCAUCCACCCAGAAGAGCCUCGUUUCGGUGCUCCCGGAUUUCGACCUUGCUGUAAAAUGCCACAAAGAGGAACUGAGCUUCCAGCUCCCCCCCACCUCGCCACGCCAGGGCUCAGAUCCCCCACGCUGCAAUAACACGUUUUUAGGGAGAGUGGGAGAAAAGAAAGAUAGAAGUGUGGAAAAAUACUCCCCCACCCAAAUCUCCUGUCCCAAAAGAGGAGAAGUGGGAGCACCAACAACAUACAGAUCUAUAUAGCUAGAUUUCAGAAAGUGUCCAUUAAUAUCAAUUUACUUCAAUGAAAACUUUGCUUCUUCAUGAAGUUGAUGAUUUAUGAUAAAAUCAAUUAAAUUACAGCCACUUAGAGCCUGCGGUUUCUUCUCAGAUUUCAUUCGCCAACAGAUCAAGCGCUUGGUAAAAAAAAAAAAUCAAGUUUAGCUGGAGGCGAGUAAAGAUAAUUCUGAAGCUGAGGAAAUUUAAUGCAAAGCAAUUUUCAGGGAAAGGAAAAAAAAAAAAAAACACAGACGCUUGUGUAUCCAAGCUCAUGCUCUCUGCCAAUAUACCAGUUCGCCUCGGGAAAUAUUAGACACUGAGUCAAAACUUUUCCAGUUUCACAAUGUAUGAGGACAUUUUUAGAACUGCCAACUUGUCCAGGGGACUGAGUUAUUAUCUUGUUCUAAAUGGAAAGGAACCAAAGGAGAACAGAGAGCACACACACGUAUAUAUUUAGAAAACUUUCCGCGUUUAAUUCGAUUUCGCCCUCUCUCUUCCACCUCCCCUCCUCCCUCCCCAUGCAACCGAUUUUAUUGUCUCACUCUUGAAAUGAAAUCGGGAGCUCACGGUGUGGGGGAAGAGCGUGGGGGGGGGGGGGGGGGGGUGAAGGAUUUUUGAGCCAGAAACGAACAGCGCAAGUCCGCACUCAAGAUUCCCACGCAAAAAUUCGCCCUCCCGAGCGUUUCCCUUUCAAUCACAGAAAUUGUAUUUGAGCGAAAUGAAACAUUUUCGAGGACACCUCUCUCCCCAGACCAAAACAAACUUUGCCUCUUUUUAAAAGCCUGAUAUUUUCGGGCUCCGCGAGGAGGUCGGACUCCCCGAAUUGCCACCACUUCUAUGACAAAUGUUUUGAGUCUUACCCAUUUCGGUCAAAUGCACUGGACGGCUAAAAGGACGAGCAGCUCAACUAACCAGACGUUUGGUGGUCACAUCUGGCCCCUACAACCAGACCUGGGGAGGGAAACCCCACUAUGGACAUACACAGAGCUUGGGAUUUUUUAUUUAUUUAUUUAUUUAUUUUAUUUUUUAGAAGCCGUUGUAAUUAGGGUCUGCUUCAAGUAAACAAAAACCUCUGUGGGGCCAUAAAUCACCAUCACAUACAUUCUUCAGCUUAACACCCUGCUUUUCCAAUGGGCUUUUGUAGUUUCUUUUUCAAACGAGGGAGGUGCUAAAAUUUUAACAAAUGUGUCCCGGACAAACUUCACGGGUAAACACGCACUUGGAAAGAAACAGUUUGUGGCCGGUCUCGGUUAUGGACCGUGCGAGAUAAUUUUUGCUCAGCUUCAGCUUCCCCAGUCCUGCUCCCGAGGCAUCAGUCUUAAUUUGUUACCAGGAGAAAGUCGGCUAUAGCUCAUGAUGGCCGGUGGAGAAGCCUGUCAAAGCCUUCGGAGCAAUUAAUUAUAUCUCACAGCGUCGGAGCUGAGAAGGUAGGAAAGGCAGAGCUGCAUCAUUCUUUUAUUCAUUUUUUUAACUUCUUACCUGCGUUACUGUCCAACCCAGGACAUCAAGAAGAAGUAGCGAAGCCGGAUCAGGGUGGUGCGAAUUCACAACUGAAGCAGCCAAAUUGUGAAGAAAAGAAACUACUUUAUUGCACCCCGGUGGAUCUUGCUGACAGCUUGCUCGGACGCGAUUUUUUUUUUUCUCCAAAGAAGCUUUGAUUUUUUUGGACUCGCUCGAUUCAAACGGAACUGACUUGACGUGGAGAAAACCAGAAACUCUUCCAAAACAGCUUGAAGUAUUGCAAGGAUACGGCCCCUUUGCAGAGAUACCGAGCGGAGGGGAAUGAAAUGGGGGUGUCGGGAGGGGCAGUUUGCGCUCACAUUCCCCUUAAAAAAAAAAAAAAAAAAAAAAAAAAAGCCCCCAAACCUCCCCCACUCACGAAUCCGUGGUAUCUAUCUGGAAAGCUGUUUCUCUUUAUAAAGACUUAAAAUGUUGCAAGACUGUUAUAAUACUGAGUGACAAGGGGUGCUGGAGAGAAGGGAACCAAAUGGAUUCUGGUUUUUAGAGCCAGUAGGAAUUGGCCAGCCUUCAAUGUCACGAUUCAAAAUUGAUUCCAUAUGUCUCGUCCCGGGAAGGGGAAGAAACGAAUGAAGAAUAGAAAGGAAAGAAAGGAAAGAAAGGAAAGAAAGG